RNAcentral lists this ribosomal RNA (492 nucleotides) under uncultured bacterium. RNAcentral's name for it is "partial 16S ribosomal RNA". It matches the Rfam family "Bacterial small subunit ribosomal RNA", at positions 29 to 507 of the family's 1533-position model. The record is from RNAcentral.
AGUGAACGCUGGCGGUAGGCCUAACACAUGCAAGUCGAACGGCAGCACAGUAAGAGCUUGCUCUUACGGGUGGCGAGUGGCGGACGGGUGAGGAAUACAUCGGAAUCUACUUUUUCGCGGGGGAUAACGUAGGGAAACUUACGCUAAUACCGCAUACGACCUACGGGUGAAAGCAGGGGAUCUUCGGACCUUGCGCGAUUGAAUGAGCCGAUGUCGGAUUAGCUAGUUGGCGGGGUAAAGGCCCACCAAGGCGACGAUCCGUGGCUGGUCUGAGAGGAUGAUCAGCCACACUGGAACUGAGACACGGUCCAGACUCCUACGGGAGGCAGCAGUGGGGAAUAUUGGACAAUGGGCGCAAGCCUGAUCCAGCCAUACCGCGUGGGUGAAGAAGGCCUUCGGGUUGUAAAGCCCUUUUGUUGGGAAAGAAAAGCAGCAGGUUAAUACCCCGCUGUUCUGACGGUACCCAAAGAAUAAGCACCGGCUAACUUCGUG